CCUACGGGAGGCAGCAGUGAGGAAUAUUGGUCAAUGGGCGGAAGCCUGAACCAGCCAAGUCGCGUGAGGGAAUAAGGCCCUACGGGUCGCAAACCUCUUUUGCCGGGGAGCAAGGCCGCCGACGUGUCCGCGCACGGAGAGUACCCGGAGAACAAGCAUCGGCUAACUCCGUGCCAGCAGCCGCGGUAAUACGGAGGAUGCGAGCGUUAUCCGGAUUUAUUGGGUUUAAAGGGUGCGCAGGCGG
RNAcentral lists this ribosomal RNA (244 nucleotides) under uncultured bacterium. RNAcentral describes it as "partial 16S ribosomal RNA". It matches the Rfam family "Bacterial small subunit ribosomal RNA", at positions 338 to 578 of the family's 1533-position model. The record is from RNAcentral.